GCAACGACUCUCGGCAACGGAUAUCUCGGCUCUCGCAUCGAUGAAGAACGCAGCGAAAUGCGAUACUUGGUGUGAAUUGCAGAAUCCCGUGAAUCAUCGAGUCUUUGAACGCAAGUUGCGCCCGAAGCCAUUAGGUUAAGGGCACGCCUGCCUGGGCGUCACGC
This 164-nucleotide ribosomal RNA is filed under the name Santalum leptocladum. Its description in RNAcentral is "5.8S ribosomal RNA". It matches the Rfam family "5.8S ribosomal RNA". From Rfam's summary of the family: 5.8S ribosomal RNA (5.8S rRNA) is a component of the large subunit of the eukaryotic ribosome. Lineage: Eukaryota; Viridiplantae; Streptophyta; Magnoliopsida; Santalales; Santalaceae. The record is from RNAcentral.